CUGAGUUUCCUGAACAGGCAUGAACACACCCUCAAGUGCACGCACACAAAUUCACACAGAUGCGAGUUAGGUCAGCUGAGCUAUUUUUGGAUCUAGCGGUUAAUCACUCUGCUGCAGCGUGCCUCUAUAAAGGCUGGAUACACACUCUAGUCCACUCAGACUCAACUGCAAAGACUGGACAUCACUUCUAUUUCUCUCUGCAUGUCAAACCUACAACCCAAGCAUCAAAGCAUGAAACGCAGACAGUUGUUGCUGUCUCUGCCUCACUUGCCAACCAUUACCGAGACACUUGAGGACUUGCCUGUCAACCCUUCAUCCUCCCAGUCCACCCAGAGCUCCCAGUCUCUAGAGGACUACAUGACCAGCAUCCAGGCUCUUGCCCGACCUGUUGAGGCCCCAAGCUACGGCCCUGUCAGACUCCAGAGGUCCCCCAGGCUGCGGCAGUUCUCAAAGGCUCAGAUGAAGCUCUCCGUUUCUGCCUCAGCACCUCGCGGGUCUCCGCGCACACUAAGGACUUCCAGACCUUCCAGUCUGAAUCUAAACAGCAGCACAGAGGAUUUUUCCCUCAGGAUGAGCAGAGAACGUGACUGCAAGGGAAAGGACCCAGUAGACUGGCUGUUUGGACAGAUAAGGACUUGAAGAGAGGUUUGGUUGUUGUUGUGGGAAACCCUGGAGGUACUUUGGAGUAUCCAAACAAGGAGCCACAGGAGGAAGUGAACUGCUGGUAUUUGCUCAGUGAUAAAAUCUCUAUGUGACCCAUGAGCAAAAAGAAGACUUAUUUAUUUUCCUGCACUUCUACACGUUUACAUAAAGGAAUAUUUUGUUAAGAUGUAAAGGCUAUAGUUUGUAAUAAAAUACUAAAAUAAUGAACAGAA
Long non-coding RNA from Pelmatolapia mariae (spotted tilapia), 875 nucleotides. RefSeq lists it as uncharacterized. The record is from RefSeq and is a predicted model, not a curated record. Lineage: Eukaryota; Metazoa; Chordata; Actinopteri; Cichliformes; Cichlidae. The transcript has 2 exons.